CCUCCCAACGCCCAGGACCCCUGCCUGAGCAGUGAGAGGCCCUGAUUGAUGCCCAGGACAACAAGCUUUCCCACCAGCCUCACCUCCACCAGCACCAACCUCACCAUUUUCUUUCAGUAUUUGAGGACUGAAAAGAAGGCUUCAUAAUGAUGGG
RNAcentral lists this long non-coding RNA (154 nucleotides) under Pan troglodytes (chimpanzee). RNAcentral's name for it is "lincRNA". Lineage: Eukaryota; Metazoa; Chordata; Mammalia; Primates; Hominidae. The record is from RNAcentral.